Molecule: ribosomal RNA, 253 nt
Filed under: uncultured bacterium
Lineage: Bacteria
Description: partial 16S ribosomal RNA
Rfam family: Bacterial small subunit ribosomal RNA
Source: RNAcentral
UACGGAGGGUGCGAGCGUUGUCCGGAAUCAUUGGGCGUAAAGGGUGCGUAGGCGGAAUGAUAAGUCAGUGGUGAAAUCCUUCAGCUUAACUGGAGAACUGCCAUUGAUACUGUCAAUCUUGAGUACAGUUGAUGUGGGCGGAAUGUGUCAUGUAGCGGUGAAAUGCUUAGAUAUGACACAGAACACCGAUUGCGAAGGCAGCUCACAAAACUGUAACUGACGCUGAGGCACGAAAGCGUGGGUAUCAAACAGG